GUGUCGGGGGUCGAACCUCGGUGCCGCAGCUAACGCAUUAAGCAUUCCACCUGGGGAGUACGAUCGCAAGAUUGAAACUCAAAGGAAUUGACGGGGGCCCGCACAAGCGGUGGAGCAUGUGGUUUAAUUUGAAGCAACGCGAAGAACCUUACCAAAUCUUGACAUCCUUCUGAUCGUUCUUUAAUCGGAACUUUCCUUCGGGACAGAAGAGACAGGUGGUGCAUGGUUGUCGUCAGCUCGUGUCGUGAGAUGUUGGGUUAAGUCCCGCAACGAGCGCAACCCUUAUCUUUAGUAGCCAGCAAGUUAAGUUGGGGACUCUAGAGAGACUGCCGGGGACAACUCGGAGGAAGGUGGGGAUGACGUCAAAUCAUCAUGCCCCUUAUGAUUUGGGCUACACACGUGCUACAAUGGCGGUGACAAAGGGAAGCGAAAUGGUGACAUGGAGCAAACCCCAAAAAAGCCGUCCCAGUUCGGAUUGUAGUCUGCAACUCGACUACAUGAAGUUGGAAUCGCUAGUAAUCGCGAAUCAGAAUGUCGCGGUGAAUACGUUCCCGGGCCUUGUACACACCGCCCGUCACACCAUGGGAGUUGGUUUUACCCGACGGCCGUGCGCUAACCUUUUGGAGGCAGCGGACCACGGUAGGAUCAGCGACUGGGGUGAAGUCGUAACAAGGUAGCCGUAGGGGAACCUGCGGCUGGAUCACCUCCUU
Molecule: ribosomal RNA, 710 nt
Filed under: uncultured Bacillota bacterium
Lineage: Bacteria; Bacillati; Bacillota
Description: bacterial SSU rRNA
Rfam family: Bacterial small subunit ribosomal RNA
Source: RNAcentral